GCAGCAGUGAGGAAUAUUGGUCAAUGGGCGCGAGCCUGAACCAGCCAAGUCGCGUGAGGGAAGACGGUCCUAUGGAUUGUAAACCUCUUUUGUCGGGGAGCAAAAGACGCCACGUGUGGCGUUCCGAGAGUACCCGAAGAAAAAGCAUCGGCUAACUCCGUGCCAGCAGCCGCGGUAAUACGGAGGAUGCGAGCGUUAUCCGGAUUUAUUGGGUUUAAAGGGUGCGCAGGCGGAAGAUCAAGUCAGCGGUAAAAUUGAGAGGCUCAACCUCUUCGAGCCGUUGAAACUGGUUUUCUUGAGUGAGCGAGAAGUAUGCGGAAUGCGUGGUGUAGCGGUGAAAUGCAUAGAUAUCACGCAGAACUCCGAUUGCGAAGGCAGCAUACCGGCGCUCAACUGACGCUCAUGCACGAAAGUGUGGGUAUCGAACAGGAUUAGAUACCCUGGUAGUCCACACAGUAAACGAUGAAUACUAAUUGUUCGGGGAGAAUGAUCCCUGA
Molecule: ribosomal RNA, 497 nt
Filed under: uncultured bacterium
Lineage: Bacteria
Description: bacterial SSU rRNA
Rfam family: Bacterial small subunit ribosomal RNA
Source: RNAcentral